Molecule: long non-coding RNA, 720 nt
Filed under: Mus spicilegus (steppe mouse)
Lineage: Eukaryota; Metazoa; Chordata; Mammalia; Rodentia; Muridae
Description: lncRNA (ENSMSIG00000010993.1)
Source: RNAcentral
GGAAGGGAGAGGUUCUGUUUCCUUCUUUUUUUGUCAGGCUGUGAGCAGGAAAACCCAGUUUGAUCCUUUCAUUGGAGGGUUGUGAUGUCACCCAAGCUUCAUGGGGUUUAAAGUUCAGAUUCUGCCCUCGAUGUACAUCUGGAGGCUGGAGAGAUGGAAGAGCCAGGUGGGGGAGCCCCAUCUCAUGUGCCAUGGCACUGUAGACUGACACUCUGUUUAUCAGAUGCUCUCCUCUUCCGCUCAGGCAUGCUGGGGACAAGGGCAACCACCCAGGUGUCCUCUGCUCAGUACGGUCUCAAGCACCCAGAAGUAGCAUGGCUGUUUCUUGCCCCUGGAUCACUCUCUUUCCUGUCUUCUUCAUCCCCAGGGAAGCCAUAUGGUGGAGUCUUCCGAGUCAGGGCUAAGAGCCAGCGUGGCUUUGGCCCUGGGGACAGUCCAGCAGCCCUGAUGUGCAAUGUGGGUGGCCUGUUCCGUGAACUUCUGCCUGGCCUUGCCUCUGAGAGCCCAGCUGCACAGCCUAGGCCCCAUCAUGAACAAAGAGUGCAGAGGCCCAACUUCUCUUAUCAUUGUGACACAGAUGCCACCAGGCCAUGUGAGACUGCAACCAGACAGAGCAACAGAGCCUUGCCUAGGAGACUGACCUGCUUAUCCAUGCUACUUAUCAGGAACUGUGGAACCAUGGAGAACAUGACCCUGGCCCUCCCUUCAGGAUCUGCCUGA